RNAcentral lists this ribosomal RNA (433 nucleotides) under uncultured bacterium. Its description in RNAcentral is "partial 16S ribosomal RNA". It matches the Rfam family "Bacterial small subunit ribosomal RNA", at positions 31 to 507 of the family's 1533-position model. The record is from RNAcentral.
AAAGAAAGAGGGCGGCAGGACGAACACAGGCAAGUCGAACGAGACCUUCGGGUCUAGUGGCGCACGGGUGCGUAACGCGUGGGAACCUGCCCUUAGGUUCGGAAUAACUCCCCGAAAGGGGUGCUAAUACCGGAUAAUGUCUUCGGACCAAAGAUUUAUCGCCUUUGGAUGGGCCCGCGUUGGAUUAGCUAGUUGGUAGGGUAAAAGCCUACCAAGGCGACGAUCCAUAGCUGGUCUGAGAGGAUGAUCAGCCACACUGGGACUGAGACACGGCCCAGACUCCUACGGGAGGCAGCAGUGGGGAAUAUUGGACAAUGGGCGAAAGCCUGAUCCAGCAAUGCCGCGUGAGUGAUGAAGGCCUUAGGGUUGUAAAGCUCUUUUACCCGGGAUGAUAAUGACAGUACCGGGAGAAUAAGCUCCGGCUAACUCCGUA